This 380-nucleotide unclassified non-coding RNA is filed under the name uncultured bacterium. Its description in RNAcentral is "contains 16S-23S intergenic spacer region". The record is from RNAcentral.
UCCGGUUUGGCACCGGCAGUCUUUCUAGAGUUCCCGGCUUUACCCGCUGGCAACUAGAAACGGGGGUUGCGCUCGUUGCGGGACUUAACCCAACAUCUCACGACACGAGCUGACGACAGCCAUGCAGCACCUGUGCAUGGGUCCCGAAGGAGGGCCCUGGUUUCUCAGAGCUUUCCCAUACAUGUCAAGCCUAGGUAAGGUUCUUCGCGUUGCGUCGAAUUGAACCACAUGCUCCGCUGCUUGUGCGGGUCCCCGUCAAUUCCUUUGAGUUUUAGCCUUGCGGCCGUACUCCCCAGGCGGGGCACUUAAUGCGUUAGCUUCGGCACAGGAGGAGUCGACACCUCCCACACCUAGUGCCCAUCGUUUACGGCGUGGACUAC